RNAcentral lists this ribosomal RNA (495 nucleotides) under uncultured bacterium. RNAcentral describes it as "partial 16S ribosomal RNA". It matches the Rfam family "Bacterial small subunit ribosomal RNA", at positions 28 to 507 of the family's 1533-position model. The record is from RNAcentral.
GAUGAACGCUGGCGGCGUGCCUAAUACAUGCAAGUAGAACGCUGAAGGAGGAGCUUGCUCUUCUGGAUGAGUUGCGAACGGGUGAGUAACGCGUAGGUAACCUGCCUGGUAGCGGGGGAUAACUAUUGGAAACGAUAGCUAAUACCGCAUGACAACAGUUAUUGCAUGAUAACUGUUUAAAAGGGGCAACUGCUCCACUACCAGAUGGACCUGCGUUGUAUUAGCUAGUUGGUGAGGUAACGGCUCACCAAGGCGACGAUACAUAGCCGACCUGAGAGGGUGAUCGGCCACACUGGGACUGAGACACGGCCCAGACGCCUACGGGAGGCAGCAGUAGGGAAUCGUCGGCAAGGGACGGAAGUCUGACCGAGCAACGCCGCGGGAGUGAAGAAGGAUUUCGGAUCGUAAAGCUCGGUUGUAAGAGAAGAACGAGUGUGAGAGUGGAAAGUUCACACUGUGACGGUAACUUACCAGAAAGGGACGGCUAACUACGUG